GGAGGGGUGCGUGAGCGGUUGAAACGAGCAGUCUUGAAAACUGCCAGGUCGCAAGGCCUCGUGGGUUCGAAUCCCACCCCCUCCGCCA
Molecule: transfer RNA, 88 nt
Filed under: Candidatus Adlerbacteria bacterium RIFCSPHIGHO2_12_FULL_53_18
Lineage: Bacteria; Candidatus Adleribacteriota
Description: tRNA-Ser
Rfam family: tRNA
About the family: Transfer RNA (tRNA) molecules are approximately 80 nucleotides in length. Their secondary structure includes four short double-helical elements and three loops (D, anti-codon, and T loops). Further hydrogen bonds mediate the characteristic L-shaped molecular structure. tRNAs have two regions of fundamental functional importance: the anti-codon, which is responsible for specific mRNA codon recognition, and the 3' end, to which the tRNAs corresponding amino acid is attached (by aminoacyl-tRNA synthetases). tRNAs cope with the degeneracy of the genetic code in two manners: having more than one tRNA (with a specific anti-codon) for a particular amino acid; and 'wobble' base-pairing, i.e. permitting non-standard base-pairing at the 3rd anti-codon position.
Source: RNAcentral